Molecule: long non-coding RNA, 807 nt
Organism: Thunnus maccoyii (southern bluefin tuna)
Lineage: Eukaryota; Metazoa; Chordata; Actinopteri; Scombriformes; Scombridae
Exons: 3
Source: RefSeq, a predicted model, not a curated record
CAGAAGCCCUUCGAUUGCACCGCAGCCUGACAUCCGCGGAGGCGCGAGGGCCCGUUCAACGCUGCUUGCAGCUUUAAUUUUAAGUUAUAUUCUGUUAAUAACAUUGUGCUGCAACCUCAGACUGGGAUUAGUAAUUUUAGUUUCUUUUAAGAUUUCCCAGUGUGAUUGGCUGCAUAGAUGGCACACACAUUCCCAUCACGGCUCCCUCACGUAAUGAAGCCGAUUAUGUGAAUAGGAAGUCCAUUCACAGCAUAAAUGUACAGAUCAUAUGUGAUGCUGCAUACAUCAUUUCCAAUGUGGAGGCCAAGUGGCCUGGGUCUGUUCAUGACUCGAGGAUAUAUCGCAAGUCUAACCUGAGCAACAGACUGCAACGUGGAGAGUUUGAUGGCCUUCUGCUGGGUGACAGGGAUUAACUAUGCCAACCUAGGCUGCUGACCCUUUACCCUGACCCUGAACCAGGCCCCCAACAGAACUUCAACCGGGCUCACUGCAGUACGACAGCCUGGGUGGAGAUGACCAAAGGCCUGCUGAAAGCCCGUUUCCAGUGCCUACGUCACCUCAGGGUGACCCCUUAGAGGGCCUGUGAUAUUAUUGUGGCAUGUGUUGUUCUUCAUAAUAUUGCCACUAUUAGAGGAGAGCAACACCCUGCCCUACAAAUUGAAGACCCUGAUGAUGACCCCAUCCACCUGCCAGCUAUCCAGGACAGCAGAGCAGUCAGAGACACCAUAUGCCAUAAUCACUUUAGAGUUUAAGUCACCAUCAUCACCACCACCACAGCAGUCAAAUAAAGACAUAAUACACAUUUCA